This is a long non-coding RNA of Coturnix japonica (Japanese quail), 1619 nucleotides long. Lineage: Eukaryota; Metazoa; Chordata; Aves; Galliformes; Phasianidae. The record is from Ensembl.
GCUGGAGGACUCCACCCCAUAUCUCAGCUUCACCCCCGGCCAGACCCACAACUCAACACUGAGGCACCAUUACCAGGUGAUCAACCCCAUAACUGCCCCAUAACUGCCCUAUAACUGCCCCAUAACUGCCCCAUAACUGCCCCAUAGUGACCCCAUAACAAUCCCAUAACCACCCCAUAGCUGCCCCAUAACCACCCCAUAUCCCCCCAUACCACCCCAUUGUUCCUCCCCAGUCCAAUGAACUCUAGCCGACCCAUUUCAUUCAUACUUCCCCCCCCCAUUCAUGCAGUUCCCGUCCCAGGUUCAGAUUUCUUCUCCUCCGGCCUCCCCCCGGUGCCCGUACUCGCCAACUCAUACCUCAGCUCCUUCCUGCUGCUGCCCCACAAGCUGCCCCCACGGCAUGGAAUGGAGCCCCAGCGUCACCAUGGACAAUGGAGCCGAGUGCCAAGAGCUGCGGGGACAGAAGGAUGUGGGGCCGCUAUGGGGCCUGGAGAAGGUGGGGUUAUGGGGUGGAUAUAGGGCGGCUAUGGGGUGAUAUGGGGUGGUUAUGGGGGAUAUGGGGUGAUAUGGGGUGGAUAUGGGGUGAUAUGGGGCUGUUAUGGUGAGUUAUGGGGUGUUUAUGGGGUGAUAUUGGGUGGUUAUGGGGUGGAUAUGGGGGAUAUGGGUUGGUUAUGGGGUUAUGGAAUGGUUAUGGGGUUAUGGGGCUGUUAUGGGGUGGUUAUGGGGCAGUUAUGGGGUUAUGGGGCAGUUAUGGGGUGGUUAUGGGGCAUGGGCUGUUAUGGGGUGUCUAUGGGGUUAUGGGACGGUUCUGGGGUUAUAAGGCUGUUAUGGGGUGGCUAUGGGGUGGCUAUGGGGUGGUUAUGGGGUGGUUAUGGGGCAGUUAUGGGGUGGUUAUGGGGUGGUUAUGGGGCAGGCUGUGGGUCUGAGCCCCACAUUCCCCCCCUCUCUAGGGCUGCAUCCCCCCCCACCCCCCCCUGUUGUUCCGCUGCCCCAUGGGAUCCCACUUGGGGGGCAGAGUGACGCUGAGCGCCAACAUCACACCCCCAACACAAGGACAGCCCCCGUUCCGAUCCCAUUUAUGCUCCCGUUUGUGGUUCCGGUUCGGUUCGGGGCUGUUCCAGCAUCACCCACAAGGGGGCGACAACGGGAUGCAGGGCACGACGGAGGUGGAGCUGCUGCCCCCCCCCCCCCCCAUUGCUCUUAAUGUACGUGGGGGGGCUGCGGCGGGGCGGGUGAUGCUGCUGCUCCUAUUGGGCGUCCUCCUGUCCAAGUGCGGCUUCUUCCGGCGAGGAUACCGGAAACGGAUGGAGGGGGCGGAGGGGAAAGACCCGGAUGUGGCUGAAUGGGAGGAGGGGGCGGGGGAAGACCCGGAUGUUGCGGAGGAGAAAGACCCGGAUGUUACGGAGGCGAAAGACCCGGAUGUUGCGGAGGUGAAAGAACAGGAUGUUAAUGGAGGGGAAAGACCCGGAUGUUAAUGGAUGGGAAAGACCCGGAUGUUAAUGGAGGGGAUGGGAGGGGGGAAAAGGGGAAAGACCUGGAUGUUAAUUGAGGAGAAAGACCCGGAUGUUAAUGGAAGGGAAAAACCCGAAUGUUAAUGGAGGGGAUGGGAGGGGGGAGGG